UUGAGCUUGAUCCUGGCUCAGGAUGAACGCUAGCGGCAGGCUUAACACAUGCAAGUCGAGGGGUAUAGUUCUUCGGAAUUAGAGACCGGCGCACGGGUGCGUAACGCGUAUGCAAUCUACCUUUUACAGAGGGAUAGCCCAGAGAAAUUUGGAUUAAUACCUCAUAGUAUAAUGACUUGGCAUCAAGACAUUAUUAAAGUCACAACGGUAAAAGAUGAGCAUGCGUCCCAUUAGCUAGUUGGUAAGGUAACGGCUUACCAAGGCUACGAUGGGUAGGGGUCCUGAGAGGGAGAUCCCCCACACUGGUACUGAGACACGGACCAGACUCCUACGGGAGGCAGCAGUGAGGAAUAUUGGACAAUGGGCGCAAGCCUGAUCCAGCCAUGCCGCGUGCAGGAUGACGGUCCUAUGGAUUGUAAACUGCUUUUAUACGAGAAGAAACACUACUUUUGUGAAGUAGCUUGACGGUAUCGUAAGAAUAAGGAUCCGGCUA
Molecule: ribosomal RNA, 493 nt
Filed under: Flavobacterium sp. BF.117
Lineage: Bacteria; Pseudomonadati; Bacteroidota; Flavobacteriia; Flavobacteriales; Flavobacteriaceae
Description: bacterial SSU rRNA
Rfam family: Bacterial small subunit ribosomal RNA
Source: RNAcentral